AUUGCAAUUUGCAAUACACCAUCUACUCUUCCAAACUUUAGCUUUCCCCUUCUUUGAAUUGCCCUAGCUCAUUCAGAUCAGAGAACCCUAAGCCCUCCACGCACGAAGAGACGAUUGCUCCUAACCCUAACCUUGUCUUCAUUGUGCCUCAACCCAACCCACUCUUCAUUGUGCCUCACGAAGAACCCCCUAAUCGCGAUGAAGAAUAUCAUAUCGAAGAACCCUAACCUCUCUUCAUUCUGCACUCCGCGAAGAACGUCGCCGGCGCGCAUGAUGCUUCCGUUGGCAAUCCCUCUUCUGGCACCCGUAACCCUCCUUUGAGCUUCGCGUGAUGGCCCCCUGAACAACCACCCCAGCUCUGUCUCUAUCACCUCCAAUCACCGCUACGGUGCCACUGCACCUUCACCUCCGUCGCCGCGCCUCUCGCCAGAUCCACCAGCUCUCCUCCGCUCGCGUCUCACGUCUCCGCCUCCGGCCGCCUGUGUCAUGCUCGCAUCUCUGUCUCUGCUUCGCUCACGAUUCUAUCACGAGCUCGCCUCCACUGUUCAAGCGCUUACUCCCUCUCAUCGCACAAGGCUUCGACGUCUCAAACUUUUUCCCUCAAGUUUCACAUCCAUCUCUUUCUUUGUUGACCUUUAUUUAGGAGCGGAAAUUUAGAAUUAAGAUACAGGGGUUUUAGAAGAUGAAAUCUGUUCCUUUCUUUGUUUAAUUGUGUUCCAUUUUUUCUUGUUUUCUAGCUGUAUUUUGGUUCAGUAUUGUUAUGCUUGCCAUUUGUUUGAUGAAUUUCCUGAGAGAGAUGGAAAAAAGUGGAACUUGAUUUCUGUGUUUUCUAUUUCUAAUUCACAAGAUUUACGUAAUUUUCCUCUUGGAUUGCUUAUGAAAUUGGGUGUAAGCAGUUAGUUUUCUCAGAUUGUUAAUGCUGUACAAUUUCUAAACUCUACCAUUUUUCACAGUGGAGGAAAAAAACAUAUGGACGAGGUGGUUAUAAUCCUAUCCUAGGCUUUGAAAAUGAUGUCCACUUCCUUGCCAGGAUACCAUAUACUUCAUUGCGAAGUCAUCUUCCGGUAGGGGUUCUAUUCCCUGGUGGCAAUUGCUGAGAGGAAGCGUAGAGAGAAGCUCAGCCAGCGCUUCAUUGCUUUAUCUGCCCUUGUUCCUGCUUGUGAAAGUUUCAAAAGAAAGCAGUUAUAGUUCAGAUAACAGUGAUGAAGAAGAAGAAAAAGCUUCUAAAACUCCUCAGAAAAGUGAUGUCAAGAUGGUUGAUGCUGUCUCAGCAAAGAAAGUUGUAUGUUACUGGUCUCAUUUUAUUAUUCUUUUUAAAUGUUUUUUGAUGAAUUAUACAAUUAUAGUAAUGGAUAAAGUGUGAAUUUUUUGAAUCGCUGUAAAUGGAAUGUUCAUGAUUUUUUAAUGAAUGAAAUAUGAAGGUGUUCACUUAAAAUCGUUAAGAGUUAGCAAACAUUUAUAAAUUAUAAUAAUUAUUAUAUUUUCAAAUGAUGUAAACUUGCAAAUAUACCUCUCUUAUGUUUAAUAUUGAGCAUUUAGAAUGUAAAUUGUUGCUCAUGUUUUGUUAUUAUUGAAUUAAAUUACUCUCUUUUUUUUGGUGUCCAAUUAAGUUAAUCUAAUUCAAUAUUGAGCAUUUAAAUUUGCUUUUUUGGUCAUCGAAAAAAAUUGUCUACAUUUCUAAAAAUUAGCAUAGUAUUCUAUUAUGGAACAUGUGGCCCAAUUUAACACUACAAGCCUGAUUAUGUUUGUGGACCAUAAGUUUUUUUUUCUUAUAAUCACAAUUUUUUUUGCUUUUAUGUUAGAAGAAUUUCAUAGUGUGUUUUAGUAGAAAGUUUUUUAAAAUUCCUAAAAAUUAUUCUAAAAAAUAUUACAUUUAAUUAAAUCCUCUUCCCCCCAAUUUCAAACUCGUGUGAAAGGUGGGUUUGCCCAUUAUUUUUCUAUGGGCUUAUGGGAAUGUUUUUAAUAAAAUAUUAUGGGAAUGUUUUCAGUAAAAUAAAAUUAUUUUACUAUUUUAUUUUUCAAAGUUGCUAUAAUUGUAAACACACCACAUCACAUUUACUGUGAACAAUUAUCCCUAACUACCGCUGCGCCAUUAGAGGCGGAUACGUCCGAAGAGGACACUCAAGAUGGAGACAACACGAAUAAAAAGAGACAAAAAGCGGAGUAGUAGAGAAUAAAGAAAAGUCAGAUUUGGUGGAAAAGAAAGAAUUUACAGUUUUGCCUACAUCGACUUCAAGGAUUCUUCUAGCAUGAAGAAAGCUCUAGAACUCAAAUGAAACUGAACUUGCUGGUGGUUAUUACCUCUCAGUUGAAGACAAUGUUUAUUAUUAAUUUUGAUAGUGUUUAUUAUUAAUUUGACAGAGUGUGGCGUUGGCUUUGAUAUGAUAAUUAACUAAGUUUGAUUUCUUUAUCCAUUUAUUUAUUAUUAAUUUUUAUUAUUUAUAGCUUGAGAAUGAGGACAUGCUCUAUCUACUUUCUAUUGAUGAUGAUGAAGAGUAGUGAAUACCAUGUUGAUUUUUGGUUAUCACUGCUAGUAUUUAACGGGUUAUGGUGGUUGAUGCCGAGGCAUACACCUAUGAUGAUGAGGUCAUCAAGAAAGCUGAAGCAAUGGAGAAGCCCGAAAAUCCUGAAGAAGAAGCUACUGUGGAAACUACUAGAGCCAUAAAACAUCAUCAAGAAAGCUGAAACAAUGGGGAAGCCCGAAAAUCCUGAAGAAGAAGCUACUGUGGAAACUACCAGAGCCAUAAAAGCUUCUCAGUUGUUGCUAAAUGCCAUUGAAAUCCUGAAGAAUCUGGAUGCUGUACGUCUCUGAGCACAUAGUGGAGGCUGAUGAUUAGUUUGGUGAAUUGGGUGCACAUAUGUGAGGAGGUUGAUCAAAAUUAUUGUUAGAUAGGAUGGCAAAGUUAUUGGAAUUGCAACUCAUGUAUUAGGAAUACAUUGCUUAGUUGUUAUCACUUUGGUUUUUGAUAUUUUGUUAUACUGUCAUGUGAUUAAACAUUUCUUUUGGUGACAAGUUUAUGUAUGUAGGAUUAGUGGAUUUAAAAU
Molecule: RNA transcript, 3045 nt
Organism: Arachis stenosperma
Lineage: Eukaryota; Viridiplantae; Streptophyta; Magnoliopsida; Fabales; Fabaceae
Exons: 4
Source: RefSeq, a predicted model, not a curated record